Molecule: long non-coding RNA, 1648 nt
Filed under: Papio anubis (olive baboon)
Lineage: Eukaryota; Metazoa; Chordata; Mammalia; Primates; Cercopithecidae
Description: lncRNA (ENSPANG00000050515.1)
Source: RNAcentral
UUGUGAAUUAAACUGAAGAACUUGCUGAAAACAUUUUGAUCAUAAUGAAGAGACUCUUGAAAUGCUUGAUUAAGUGCAUUCUAAAGAAUUUCCCUAACGUGGAUGGCAGUGAGAUGGAGUCUCACUGUGUUGCCCAGGCUGGUCUCAAACUCCUGGGCUCAAGCAAUCCUCCCGCCUCAGGCUCUCAAAGAGCUGGGAUUACAGACGGGGUCUCUCUCUGUCGCCCAGACUGGAGUGCAAUGGCGUGAUCUUGGCUCACUGCAACCUCUACCUCCUGAGUUCAAGUGAUUCUCCUGCCACAGCCUCCUGAGUAGCUGGGAUUACAGGUGCCCGCCACCACACCCAGCUGGAAAACCUAACUUUCCACACCUAAGUAACAAAAGGACCAGAGGCUUUUUGUUUCCCUUUGCAAACCCCCACCUUUUCUGUGGGGCAGAUGGGAAAUUGAAAAUACCUCUUUUUUUGCAUAGAAUUGUAACUUUGUAACUUCCCUUCAGCCUCUGACUGCCGGCCAAGUCUUUGUUUGCACAGAAGUGCAACUACUCUGAUUGUGGGCCACCACUUCAUUUACAUAAGUUGAACACCAAGUGGCCAAUGGGAAACCUCUAGGGAGUAUUUGUAUGCAAGAAGAUUCUGUGUCGGGGCCCAUGAGCAGCUGCUUCAGCCCACUCCUACCCUGUGGUGUGUAAUUUCGUUUUCAAUAAAUCUCUGCUUUCCUUGCUUCAUUCUUUCCUUGCUUUGUCCAAUUCUUUGUUCAAAAUGCCAAGAACCUGGACACCCUCCACUGGUAACAGAGCAGAAUAGAGAACCCAGAAAUAAAACUGCACACCUACAGCCAUCUGACCUUUGAAAAACCUGUGGGUUUUAUCCAAUUCUUUGUUCAAAAUGCCAAGAACCUGGACACCCUCCACCGGUAACAACAGGUACUGGGGCUUAAGACUUCAAUAUAUCCUUCUGAGGACAUAAUUCAACACAUAACCCUUUCACAAAGAAAAUGACAAGAAUUUAAGAUAGAAUAAGAAUGUUAGAAUAGAAAUGGUCUUAACAGUUUUCUACAAUAACCACCUACUUGUAUUUUUGAAGAAACAGGCAUGGAGUGAUUAGGAGAUUUACCCAUGGUCACACACAGAUAAAAAAGGACAGAGCUGGAAUUGGAAAUUGGUAGUGACAGGGAAAUUUACAAAUCAUGCAAAUACAUUUCUGGUUAAACACCUAAAACAGUCAAGGCUGGCCCUCGGAAAAAAGUGGGAAUUAGGCAGCUUAUCUGAGUCUUUCUCAUCUCCCUUCAUUUAUUUCUGCUUUCUUCCCUGUUGGAACCUCCUUGGCCUCACUCUCUCCUCUAGGAGCAGGUGGCAUAUACUGAGCGCUUCCUAUGUGCUGGACAUUGUGCUAAGUCUUCCUCAUUUAAUUCUCAUAACAUAGUGGUAAACACUAUUAUGAUCCCAUUUUACGAAUGAGGAAACUGGACUUCAGAUAUUAUGAUUCUGUUUUAUAAAUGAGGAAACUGGACUGAGAUGCAAACACAGGCAGAGCUCACAUUUGUCUUAAAAAUUAUUGUAUACAUCUAAAAGGUACAAAUGUAGUUUUGUUCUAUGGAUGUAUUGCACAGUCUGAAAUCUAGGCUUUUAGUGUAUCCAUGACUCAAAUA